CUGGAAGGAAAACACUGAUUAGCAAUUUCACUAAAAACCCCUGAAAUAUCAGCAAAACGCACAAGACAUCCAAAUUUAAUAUCAAUGUGUUACAAAUAAUUUGCAUCAUUAUUAUAUUUUCACUUCUAAGGUUGAUGUGUUUGUUAAAAUAUAUCAAAUUUUAUUUUGUUUCUUUUACAUGGUUAUACAUCAUUUUUCAUCAAUUUCUAGAAUCCAUAACAAGUCUUACAAUUUGAUUCUUGAUUUCCAAUUUACUAAGGCUCUAUUUGGAUGGGGCAAGAGAAAGGUAAUUAAUGAAAAGGUAAGAAAGGAUAUGUAGGGGGAAUGAUAUACUUGGAAAGGGGUGAACUAAUGAAAAGGUAAAGAGAAGUCAUGUAUAUUUUUUAUAUUUUCGAAGAGAUGAAGGAAGGAUAAAUUUGAGGGCUCUAAGAAAUAAAAUAGUUUAUAACUCUCAUCUCCUUCUCCUCACACCUACCAAAUUGCGGUGUAAGACAAUUGAAAUUUGAAGGGUCAAGGAAGGUAACACUUACCUGUAUUUACCCUUACCCUUUACUCACUCACCUCUUUCCAAAUAGGGGUACACAAGUUACUUACCCCUCUUUGCUUUUAUUUACCCCUUUUCACCCUCAUCCAAAUAGAGAGUAAAGGACAUUUUGAUUCUCAAUUUGACAACUCACCAAAUGAACUGAUCAUUAAAAUCUUGUCAAGAGAAAAACAUUCAAACAACAAUUACAUAAAUAGGUCACACAAUGCUAUAAUAGUGAUAUUGAAAUUGAUAAAAUC
Molecule: unclassified non-coding RNA, 783 nt
Filed under: Hevea brasiliensis (rubber tree)
Lineage: Eukaryota; Viridiplantae; Streptophyta; Magnoliopsida; Malpighiales; Euphorbiaceae
Source: RNAcentral